CUACGUAGGUGGCGAGCGUUGUCCGGAAUUACUGGGCGUAAAGGGUGCGUAGGCGGAUAAUCAAGUCAGAUGUGAAAGUCCAUGGCUUAACUGUGGGAGUGCAUUUGAGACUGAAGACCUAGAGUGCAGGAGAGGGAAGCGGAAUUCCUAGUGUAGCGGUGAAAUGCGUAGAUAUUAGGAAGAACACCAGUGGCGAAGGCGGCUUUCUGGACUGUAACUGACGCUGAAACACGAAAGCGUGGGGAGCAAACAGGAUUAGAUACCCUGGUAGUCCACGCCGUAAACGAUGAGUAUUAGGUGUAGGGGACGAUAGUCUUCUGUGCCGGAGCAAACGCAAUAAAUACUCCGCCUGGGGAGUACGGUCACAAGACUAAA
Molecule: ribosomal RNA, 375 nt
Filed under: uncultured bacterium
Lineage: Bacteria
Description: bacterial SSU rRNA
Rfam family: Bacterial small subunit ribosomal RNA
Source: RNAcentral